This 21-nucleotide transfer RNA is filed under the name Hydnophora microconos. RNAcentral's name for it is "partial tRNA-Met". The record is from RNAcentral. Lineage: Eukaryota; Metazoa; Cnidaria; Anthozoa; Scleractinia; Merulinidae.
GGUAAGAAAGACUAAGGGAUA